This 208-nucleotide ribosomal RNA is filed under the name uncultured bacterium. RNAcentral's name for it is "partial 16S ribosomal RNA". It matches the Rfam family "Bacterial small subunit ribosomal RNA", at positions 568 to 774 of the family's 1533-position model. The record is from RNAcentral.
CGCGUAGGCGGCCUGUUAAGUCGAACGUGAAAUCCCCGGGCUCAACCCGGGAACUGCGUCCGAUACUGGCAGGCUUGAAUCCGGGAGAGGGAUGUGGAAUUCCAGGUGUAGCGGUGAAAUGCGUAGAUAUCUGGAGGAACACCGGUGGCGAAGGCGGCAUCCUGGACCGGUAUUGACGCUGAGGCGCGAAAGCCAGGGGAAGCAAACG